RNAcentral lists this transfer RNA (64 nucleotides) under Acaciothrips ebneri. Its description in RNAcentral is "tRNA-Pro". Lineage: Eukaryota; Metazoa; Arthropoda; Insecta; Thysanoptera; Phlaeothripidae. The record is from RNAcentral.
CAGGAAAUAAUUCAAAUUAAAAUAUUAAAUUUGGAGUUUAAAAAUGGUUAAAACCCUUUCCUGA